Small nucleolar RNA from Molossus molossus (Pallas's mastiff bat), 136 nucleotides. RefSeq annotates it as small nucleolar RNA SNORA42/SNORA80 family. The record is from RefSeq and is a predicted model, not a curated record. The transcript has a single exon. NCBI's taxonomy places the organism in Eukaryota, Metazoa, Chordata, Mammalia, Chiroptera, Molossidae.
GCAUGGGUUUGGAUUUCUGGCAGGCCUGUCAUCCCCCUGGGUCUUCAUAAUGCCCCAUGCCAGUACAAACUGUGGCCUUGAACCAUUGCCUAGCCUCUGUCCAUACGGUGCCGGCACUAAAGUGGGUUACACAGUG